Molecule: ribosomal RNA, 447 nt
Filed under: uncultured Alphaproteobacteria bacterium
Lineage: Bacteria; Pseudomonadati; Pseudomonadota; Alphaproteobacteria
Description: bacterial SSU rRNA
Rfam family: Bacterial small subunit ribosomal RNA
Source: RNAcentral
GAGUUUGAUCAUGGCUCAGAACGAACGCUGGCGGCAUGCCUAACACAUGCAAGUCGAACGAGACCUUCGGGUCUAGUGGCGCACGGGUGCGUAACGCGUGGGAAUCUGCCCUUGGGUACGGAACAACAGUUAGAAAUGACUGCUAAUACCGUAUAAUGACUCCGGUCCAAAGAUUUAUCGCCCAGGGAUGAGCCCGCGUCGGAUUAGCUAGUUGGUGGGGUAAAAGCUCACCAAGGCGACGAUCCGUAGCUGGUCUGAGAGGAUGAUCAGCCACACUGGGACUGAGACACGGCCCAGACUCCUACGGGAGGCAGCAGUGGGGAAUAUUGGACAAUGGGCGAAAGCCUGAUCCAGCAAUGCCGCGUGAGUGAUGAAGGCCUUAGGGUUGUAAAGCUCUUUUACCCGGGAUGAUAAUGACAGUACCGGGAGAAUAAGCCCCGGCUAACU